UGGGGAAUAUUGCACAAUGGGCGCAAGCCUGAUGCAGCCAUGCCGCGUGUAUGAAGAAGGCCUUCGGGUUGUAAAGUACUUUCAGCGGGGAGGAAGGGAGUAAAGUUAAUACCUUUGCUCAUUGACGUUACCCGCAGAAGAAGCACCGGCUAACUCCGUGCCAGCAGCCGCGGUAAUACGGAGGGUGCAAGCGUUAAUCGGAAUUACUGGGCGUAAAGCGCACGCAGGCGGUUUGUUAAGUCAGAUGUGAAAUCCCCGGGCUCAACCUGGGAACUGCAUCUGAUACUGGCAAGCUUGAGUCUCGUAGAGGGGGGUAGAAUUCCAGGUGUAGCGGUGAAAUGCGUAGAGAUCUGGAGGAAUACCGGUGGCGAAGGCGG
Molecule: ribosomal RNA, 377 nt
Filed under: uncultured bacterium
Lineage: Bacteria
Description: partial 16S ribosomal RNA
Rfam family: Bacterial small subunit ribosomal RNA
Source: RNAcentral